UGCAGUCGAGCGAACAGACGAGGAGCUUGCUCCUUUGACGUUAGCGGCGGACGGGUGAGUAACACGUGGGUAACCUACCUAUAAGACUGGGAUAACUUCGGGAAACCGGAGCUAAUACCGGAUAAUAUUUCGAACCGCAUGGUUCGAUAGUGAAAGAUGGCUCUGCUAUCACUUAUAGAUGGACCUGCGCCGUAUUAGCUAGUUGGUAAGGUAACGGCUUACCAAGGCAACGAUACGUAGCCGACCUGAGAGGGUGAUCGGCCACACUGGAACUGAGACACGGUCCAGACUCCUACGGGAGGCAGCAGUAGGGAAUCUUCCGCAAUGGGCGAAAGCCUGACGGAGCAACGCCGCGUGAGUGAUGAAGGUCUUCGGAUCGUAAAACUCUGUUAUUAGGGAAGAACAAACGUGUAAGUAACUGUGCACGUCUUGACGGUACCUAAUCAGAAAGCCACGGCUAACUACGUGCCAGCAGCCGCGGUAAUACGUAGGUGGCAAGCGUUAUCCGGAAUUAUUGGGCGUAAAGCGCGCGUAGGCGGUUUUUUAAGUCUGAUGUGAAAGCCCACGGCUCAACCGUGGAGGGUCAUUGGAAACUGGAAAACUUGAGUGCAGAAGAGGAAAGUGGAAUUCCAUGUGUAGCGGUGAAAUGC
Molecule: ribosomal RNA, 650 nt
Filed under: uncultured bacterium
Lineage: Bacteria
Description: bacterial SSU rRNA
Rfam family: Bacterial small subunit ribosomal RNA
Source: RNAcentral